AGCUUGCUCUUAUGAAGUUAGCGGCGGACGGGUGAGUAACACGUGGGUAACCUGCCCAUAAGACUGGGAUAACUCCGGGAAACCGGGGCUAAUACCGGAUAACAUUUUGAACUGCAUGGUUCGAAAUUGAAAGGCGGCUUCGGCUGUCACUUAUGGAUGGACCCGCGUCGCAUUAGCUAGUUGGUGAGGUAACGGCUCACCAAGGCAACGAUGCGUAGCCGACCUGAGAGGGUGAUCGGCCACACUGGGACUGAGACACGGCCCAGACUCCUACGGGAGGCAGCAGUAGGGAAUCUUCCGCAAUGGACGAAAGUCUGACGGAGCAACGCCGCGUGAGUGAUGAAGGCUUUCGGGUCGUAAAACUCUGUUGUUAGGGAAGAACAAGUGCUAGUUGAAUAAGCUGGCACCUUGACGGUACCUAACCAGAAAGCCACGGCUAACUACGUGCCAGCAGCCGCGGUAAUACGUAGGUGGCAAGCGUUAUCCGGAAUUAUUGGGCGUAAAGCGCGCGCAGGUGGUUUCUUAAGUCUGAUGUGAAAGCCCACGGCUCAACCGUGGAGGGUCAUUGGAAACU
Molecule: ribosomal RNA, 574 nt
Filed under: uncultured bacterium
Lineage: Bacteria
Description: bacterial SSU rRNA
Rfam family: Bacterial small subunit ribosomal RNA
Source: RNAcentral